RNAcentral lists this long non-coding RNA (309 nucleotides) under Androctonus crassicauda. The record is from RNAcentral. Lineage: Eukaryota; Metazoa; Arthropoda; Arachnida; Scorpiones; Buthidae.
GCAGCCUUCUUUGGGGGGAAAAAAGUGCCUUACUGACUGUAGCCAUUACAGUAGCCAGUGUAUUUUCACAGAUGCCUAUCCUUUUUUUAAACAGUUCUCAUGUUUCUUUUUUUCUUUCUUGGUUGGUUCUAUUUCUUACUGCUCACCACCUCUGAAAUCCCCAGCGUGUCACGGGGCCAUUGGAUUUUUUCCAUUAUGUUCAUUACCCUUGUACCAUGUACCUCAGAUCUCUCUCUCUCUCAGUUACAGUUUCUCGUCUUGGACUUUCUUUUAUUAUUAUUAUAAUUUUUUUUUUUUUUUUUUUUAUUA